GAACGCUGGCGGCAGGCUUAACACAUGCAAGUCGAGCGGUAACAGGGGGAGCUUGCUCCCUGCUGACGAGCGGCGGACGGGUGAGUAAUGCAUAGGAAACUGCCCAGUAGUGGGGGAUAGCCCGGGGAAACCCGGAUUAAUACCGCAUACGCCCUUUGGGGGAAAGCAGGGGAUCUUCGGACCUUGCGCUAUUGGAUGUGCCUAUGUCGGAUUAGCUAGUUGGUGGGGUAAGAGCCUACCAAGGCGACGAUCCGUAGCUGGUCUGAGAGGAUGAUCAGCCACAUCGGGACUGAGACACGGCCCGAACUCCUACGGGAGGCAGCAGUGGGGAAUAUUGGACAAUGGGGGCAACCCUGAUCCAGCCAUGCCGCGUGUGUGAAGAAGGCUUUCGGGUUGUAAAGCACUUUCAGUGAGGAGGAAAACCUGACGACUAAUACUCGUGAGGCUUGACGUUACUCACAGAAGAAGCACCGGCUAACUCCGUGCCAGCAGCCGCGGUAAUACGGAGGGUGCAAGCGUUAAUCGGAAUUACUGGGCGUAAAGCGCGCGUAGGUGGUUUGAUAAGCGAGAUGUGAAAGCCCCGGGCUCAACCUGGGAACG
RNAcentral lists this ribosomal RNA (600 nucleotides) under Marinobacter sp. R22. RNAcentral describes it as "bacterial SSU rRNA". It matches the Rfam family "Bacterial small subunit ribosomal RNA", at positions 31 to 622 of the family's 1533-position model. The record is from RNAcentral. Lineage: Bacteria; Pseudomonadati; Pseudomonadota; Gammaproteobacteria; Pseudomonadales; Marinobacteraceae.